Molecule: long non-coding RNA, 861 nt
Organism: Megalobrama amblycephala (Wuchang bream)
Lineage: Eukaryota; Metazoa; Chordata; Actinopteri; Cypriniformes; Xenocyprididae
Exons: 3
Source: RefSeq, a predicted model, not a curated record
UAAAUAAAAUAAUAAAAUAAGAAUUAAAAACAAAAGAAUCUUAAAAUAAAUUCUAUAUCAGACAGGAAUCCAGUGAAAAGACAUUACAAUUGGGGUAAUACUCAUGCUUAAGUAGACCCAAAGUCUAGCUGCAGAAUUUUGCACCAUUUGUAAUGAGCCAAACACAAAAACCACACAGGAUGAUAAAGUAGGUGUUGCCCUGACAUGCAGGCUUUGUAAAAUACUUUCUGUUUUCUAGUAGAAGAACUUGAAGUAGAGAAGCUUUCACUUUUAUUUUACACAAAACUCAACUCUUCACUUUUGUCCAUUUUCAUCAGAAUUAUUCUUGUGUGCUUCUUAUGACCAGAAUAUAAACCAAAAAUCUAGGGGGGAAAUCGUUUGAAGAAGAACAUUUGAAUAGCCAAAACGCCCUGCAAAAAAAAAAAAAAAAGUUCUUACUUGCAUCACGUCGACACUAACCGACACUGUGGCUUUAGCCUGUGACUCAUAAGGGGGUUAAAAGGUGAAACAGGAAAUAGAAGCAGAAGGGCACAGAAGAAGCUGACAGAAACUCUGAAGGUGUUCUCAAGAAAUUUUAACACAAGAAAAUACAGAUUUUAGAGCUGCAAUGUUUACUUGGACUGAGAUUGUGUUCUUACUAUUUGCAGUCAACAAGAAUUUUGACCCGAUUGAGAAAAGUGACUCAGGCAUACCAUCAAAAGAUAAUUUGAGACCUGGAGACCUUCUUAUGAGGGAAACAAAUAUUGGACUUUAUCACAGUGGGGUUUACGAUGGAAAACUUGUCAUUGAGUUCGCAGCUUGCCACAGGAAAGAGGAAAACAAAUUAUACAUGGUGACCUGUAGGAGCCACUAUUUGAAGGG